UACGUAGGUGGCGAGCGUUGUUCGGAUUUAUUGGGCGUAAAGGGUCCGCAGGAGGUUCCAUAAAUUCGAGGUGAAAUCCCGAAGCUCAACUUCGGAACUGCCUUGGAGACUGUGGGACUAGAGUGCUGGAGAGGUAAGCGGAAUUCCAGGUGUAGCGGUGGAAUGCGUAGAUAUCUGGAAGAACACCGAUGGCGAAGGCAGCUUACUGGACAGCAACUGACUCUCAUGGACGAAAGCGUGGGGAGCAAACAGG
RNAcentral lists this ribosomal RNA (253 nucleotides) under uncultured bacterium. RNAcentral's name for it is "partial 16S ribosomal RNA". It matches the Rfam family "Bacterial small subunit ribosomal RNA", at positions 524 to 776 of the family's 1533-position model. The record is from RNAcentral.